This 528-nucleotide ribosomal RNA is filed under the name uncultured bacterium. Its description in RNAcentral is "partial 16S ribosomal RNA". It matches the Rfam family "Bacterial small subunit ribosomal RNA", at positions 355 to 874 of the family's 1533-position model. The record is from RNAcentral.
UGGGGAAUUUUGGACAAUGGGCGAAAGCCUGAUCCAGCAAUGCCGCGUGUGUGAAGAAGGCCUUCGGGUUGUAAAGCACUUUUGUCCGGAAAGAAAUCCUCUGGGUUAAUACCUCGGGGGGAUGACGGUACCGGAAGAAUAAGCACCGGCUAACUACGUGCCAGCAGCCGCGGUAAUACGUAGGGUGCAAGCGUUAAUCGGAAUUACUGGGCGUAAAGCGUGCGCAGGCGGUUUUGUAAGACGGAUGUGAAAUCCCCGGGCUUAACCUGGGAACUGCAUUCGUGACUGCAAGGCUAGAGUAUGGCAGAGGGGGGUAGAAUUCCACGUGUAGCAGUGAAAUGCGUAGAGAUGUGGAGGAAUACCGAUGGCGAAGGCAGCCCCCUGGGCCAAUACUGACGCUCAUGCACGAAAGCGUGGGGAGCAAAACAGGAUUAGAUACCCUGGUAGUCCACGCCCUAAAACGAUGUCAACUAGUUGUUGGGGAUUCAUUUCCUUAGUAACGUAGCUAACGCGUGAAGUUGACCGCCU